RNAcentral lists this ribosomal RNA (1491 nucleotides) under Triticum aestivum (bread wheat). RNAcentral describes it as "partial small subunit ribosomal RNA". The record is from RNAcentral. Lineage: Eukaryota; Viridiplantae; Streptophyta; Magnoliopsida; Poales; Poaceae.
AUGAGCAAGCUCGACUACUGCUUCAGCAAUGACUACAUGGUGCUGCGCCCGGACAGGACCAGCCCGUUCGACCUCCUGCACCUCCUCUUCUCGCCCAAGGUCGGACGGAACAAGGCCGUCGACUGCUUCACCAGCACCGAGAUCCGCAGCUUCCCCCGGCGGCUCGCCCUCUUCCUCAACCUGCUCCUGCAGAUCCUCGUCCUCUCGCUCGCCGGCCCCAUGUCCGCCAUCGGCGCCGCCGUCGAGUUCGCGCUCAACCUCGUCGACAACGUCCUCCACGGUCAGCUCAUGAGCGCGUGCGCGCACUGUUUGUGUUUGGCGCCCGUCUUGGCUGCAAUGCAAACUGAAAUGGACUCUGCCGUGGUUGAUUGGUUGGUUGCAGGGAAGAUGGAGUAUCCGGACAGAUCGUCGGCGUCGUACCGGUCGCUGACGGGGCUCAUCGACGGGCGAGUGGAUCUGGACAGGAGCCUCGCGCCAGGGGACAGCCGGCACCACGCUGCGCUGUGCGUCAUGGCGUCCAAGGUGGCGUACGAGAACGAGGCCUUUAUCCGCGACGUGGUCACCAGCCGCUGGCAGAUGGAGUUCAUCAAGUUCUACAACUGCUGGAACGAGUUCGAGAACGCGUACACGGCGCAGGCGUUCGUGUUCUGCGACAGGGCGGGGCCGGACGCGGAGCUGGUGGUGGUGGCGUUCCGCGGGACGCCGGCGUUCGACGCGGCGCGGUGGCGCGCCGACCUGGACCCGUCGUGGUACAAGGUGCCGCGGCUCGGGCGCGCGCACGCCGCCUACACGCACGCGCUGGGCGCGCAGCGCAACAUGGGGUGGCCCAAGUGGGUGGAGCACGUCAAGGGCAAACCCCAGAAGGUGUACGCGUACUACACCAUCCGCGACGCCGUGAAGGGGCUCCUGGAGGCGAGCCCGAAGGCGAGGCUACUGGUGACCGGGCACGGGAGCGGCGGCGCGCUGGCGGUGCUGUUCGCGACGGUCAUGGCGUACCACAGGGAGAAGGCCGUGAUGGACCGGCUGGCCGGGGUGUACACGUUCGGGCAGCCGCAGGUCGGCGACGCCAUGCUCGCCAUGUUCGCGGAGCGGAACCUCGACAGGCCCAAGAAGCGGCACUUCCGGUUCACCUACGCCGGCGACCCGCUGCCGCGGCUGCCCGGCGUGGGCUCCCCCGCGCAUUUCCUGCAUUUCGGGCUAUGCCUCCACUUCGACGUCUCCUACCACCUCAAGGUGUUCAUGGAGAUACCGGGCGAGACGGCGAGCCCAUCGUCGUCGGCGGCGGGGUUCGUGGCGAGCCGGGUGAACGCAGCGCGGGAGCUGGCGCGGAGCGCGUACCUGGGCUACCGGAGGGGCGCCUACUUCCGGGAAGGGUGGGUGCUGCUGCUGAUGCGCGUGCUGGCGGUGGCGCUGCCCGGCCUGCCGUUCCACAUGGCGCACGACUACGUCAACGGCGUCGCGCUCGCCGCGCGCAUUCCCAAGGACGAGUGA